ACAUUAUUACAGACAAGUACUGAAAUUGGAGGAAAUCCCCAGAAAGAYUGUAAGGGAAGAAGCAGAAGGCGGGUCUGCUCUCCCUGGAUUGGAAUAAAAAGUACAAGAACAAGAGCGUGGACUCCAGUGUUCCCUCUAAAUCUGGAGGAGAUCAGAAGAACUGUAGUGCUUGCCUGCUGGAGGAUGCAUGGCUGAAAGAAGAGGAAUUUGCUGCUGCUUGACAUCUGUUAAUGAAGARUCCUGGAAGGUUCAGCAAGGUUUGUGAUGAGGUGUAAUGCACUGCCGUCUGCUGCUUCAUGUUGCACUUCAGUUGCCUGCAUGAGAACCUCUCUUCCACCUCCUYUCCUGGAGGCAGCCUAGCACAGGUCUUGGCUGCACUGCCUGAGGAGAAGUGUUCCUGCUUCCACUGCAGCUGAACUCUGUU
Molecule: long non-coding RNA, 424 nt
Organism: Nothoprocta perdicaria
Lineage: Eukaryota; Metazoa; Chordata; Aves; Tinamiformes; Tinamidae
Exons: 4
Source: RefSeq, a predicted model, not a curated record